AUACGUAGGGGGCGAGCGUUGUCCGGAAUUAUUGGGCGUAAAGGGUUCGCAGGCGGUCUUUUAAGUCAGAUGUUAAAUGCAUAGGCUCAACCUAUGAGUGCAUUUGAAACUGGGAGACUUGAGUAAAGGAGAGGAAAGUGGAAUUCCUAGUGUAGCGGUGAAAUGCGUAGAUAUUAGGAGGAAUACCAGUGGCGAAGGCGACUUUCUGGACUUUUACUGACGCUGAGGAACGAAAGCAUGGGGAGCAAACAGGAUUAGAUACCCUGGUAGUCCAUGCCGUAAACGAUGAGUGCUAGGUGUCGGGCGUCAAAACUCGGUGCCGAAGCUAACGCAUUAAGCACUCCGCCUGGGGAGUACGUGCGCAAGCAUGAA
Molecule: ribosomal RNA, 372 nt
Filed under: uncultured bacterium
Lineage: Bacteria
Description: bacterial SSU rRNA
Rfam family: Bacterial small subunit ribosomal RNA
Source: RNAcentral